UAGGGAAUCUUCCACAAUGGACGAAAGUCUGAUGGAGCAACGCCGCGUGAGUGAAGAAGGUUCUCGGAUCGUAAAACUCUGUUGUGAGGGAAGAACAAGUAACGGAGUAACAGCCGGUACCUUGACGGUACCUCAUUAGAAAGCCACGGCUAACUACGUGCCAGCAGCCGCGGUAAUACGUAUGUGGCAAGCGUUGUCCGGAAUCAUUGGGCGUAAAGCGCGCGCAGGCGGUCCCAUAAGUCUGAGGUGAAAGCCCACGGCUCAACCGUGGAGGGGCAUUGGAAACUGGGGGACUUGAGUGCAGGAGAGGAAAGCGGAAUUCCAAGUGUAGCGGUGAAAUUCGUAGAUAUUUGGAGGAACACCAGUGGCGAAGGCGGCUUUCUGGUCUGUAACUGACGCUGGGGCGCGAAAGCGUGGGGAGCAAACAGG
RNAcentral lists this ribosomal RNA (429 nucleotides) under Fusobacteriota bacterium. RNAcentral's name for it is "Fusobacteria bacterium partial 16S ribosomal RNA". It matches the Rfam family "Bacterial small subunit ribosomal RNA", at positions 355 to 776 of the family's 1533-position model. Lineage: Bacteria; Fusobacteriati; Fusobacteriota. The record is from RNAcentral.